ACAGCAGCAGCCGCGGGAAUACAGAGGGUGCAAGCGUUAAUCGGAAUUACUGGGCGUAAAGCGCGCGUAGGUGGUUUGUUAAGUUGGAUGUGAAAUCCCCGGGCUCAACCUGGGAACUGCAUCCAAAACUGGCAAGCUAGAGUAUGGUAGAGGGUGGUGGAAUUUCCUGUGUAGCGGUGAAAUGCGUAGAUAUAGGAAGGAACACCAGUGGCGAAGGCGACCACCUGGACUGAUACUGACACUGAGGUGCGAAAGCGUGGGGAGCAAACAGGAUUAGAUACCCGCGUAGUCCCUGUCUCUUAUAC
RNAcentral lists this ribosomal RNA (305 nucleotides) under uncultured bacterium. Its description in RNAcentral is "partial 16S ribosomal RNA". It matches the Rfam family "Bacterial small subunit ribosomal RNA", at positions 505 to 807 of the family's 1533-position model. The record is from RNAcentral.